RNAcentral lists this long non-coding RNA (289 nucleotides) under Mytilus galloprovincialis (Mediterranean mussel). The record is from RNAcentral. Lineage: Eukaryota; Metazoa; Mollusca; Bivalvia; Mytilida; Mytilidae.
ACCCGACCAUAGAAAAAAAAACAACAGCAGAAGGUCACCAACAGGUCUUCAAUGUAGCGAGAAAUUCCCGCACCCGGAGGCGUCCUUCAGCUGGCCCUUAAACAAAUAUAUACUAGUUCAGUGAUAAUGAACGCCAUACUAAUUUCCAAAUUGUACACAAGAAACUAAAAUUAAAAUAAUACAAGACUAACAAAGGCCAGAGGCUCCUGACUUGGGACAGGCGCAAAAAUGCGGCGGGGUUAAACAUGUUUGUGAGAUCUCAACCCUCCCCCUAUACCUCUAGCCAAUG